RNAcentral lists this ribosomal RNA (301 nucleotides) under uncultured bacterium. RNAcentral describes it as "partial 16S ribosomal RNA". It matches the Rfam family "Bacterial small subunit ribosomal RNA", at positions 509 to 807 of the family's 1533-position model. The record is from RNAcentral.
CAGUAGCCGCGGGAAUACGAAGGGGGCUAGCGUUGUUCGGAUUUACUGGGCGUAAAGCGCACGUAGGCGGAUCGAUCAGUCAGGGGUGAAAUCCUGGAGCUCAACUCCAGAACUGCCUUUGAUACUGUCGAUCUCGAGUCCGGAAGAGGUGAGUGGAACUCCUAGUGUAGAGGUGGAAUUCGUAGAUAUUAGGAAGAACACCAGUGGCGAAGGCGGCUCACUGGUCCGGUACUGACGCUGAGGUGCGAAAGCGUGGGGAGCAAACAGGAUUAGAUACCCGUGUAGUCCCUGUCUCUUAUAC